Molecule: non-coding RNA, 222 nt
Organism: Arachis ipaensis
Lineage: Eukaryota; Viridiplantae; Streptophyta; Magnoliopsida; Fabales; Fabaceae
Source: RefSeq, a predicted model, not a curated record
GGAUGAAUUGAAUGUUUCUUGUAAUACAAUGGUGAAAUUCUCUAAAAUCUAUGUUAAAGGGAUUUGAGCAGCAAUGCCUUUGAUUGCACAGAUUUUCCACAAUGGCUUUUGACUAUGAAGAAUUUAACAACAUUACGGAUGUAGGAGGCGAACCUGUCUGGCCAAAUACCUGCUGGUUUCUUUAGCCUUCCCUCUUUGCAAUAUGUGUGAGUUUCACUUUCA